Non-coding RNA from Podarcis lilfordi (Lilford's wall lizard), 169 nucleotides. The record is from the annotation of a GenBank genome assembly. Lineage: Eukaryota; Metazoa; Chordata; Lepidosauria; Squamata; Lacertidae.
UGGAAAUCAAUAAAAACUAUAUUUGUUUGUUUGUUUGUUUUUUGUUUGUUUAACAGUUCACAUAAUAAAAUUGUAGAUAAAACAGUGAAAAUUGUGUGUGUGUGUGUGUGUGUGUGUGUGUGUGGCUCACAGGAAUAUCUUUCCACCCCACCUUCAGCACUCAAUUCAA